Long non-coding RNA from Vitis vinifera (wine grape), 349 nucleotides. RefSeq lists it as uncharacterized. The record is from RefSeq and is a predicted model, not a curated record. The transcript is spliced from 3 exons. Lineage: Eukaryota; Viridiplantae; Streptophyta; Magnoliopsida; Vitales; Vitaceae.
UACGAAUAAAUACCCUAGGUAUAAAUUAGAAAUUUUAUUCUUUCCCUUCUUUUCUGAAUAGAGUUCCUGUUCGCAGAAUUCCAGAGAACGUAAGGUUGGAGUCAGAUUUCAGGGUUGAAGAACAGAUCUCUAUAGGUGAAGAGUAGAUUAUAUUUUUUCAGAAUUAUUCUUCUCCCAAGCUUUCAAGGACUUCUUUUGAGGUACUCUUAGUUCGGGUGAGGAGUGAUGGCUAGGCUGAGGAAUGGUCAUCAUUAGGAUUUGACUUAGGAUUUUAUGUUGGAUUUUGUUUAACUAUUAGUUAUGUUCAUUUGGAUCUUUUGGUAUUUGGAAGUUAUUUGGAAAUUGAAUU